AGCCAACGCGCCGCAGGGUUAGCAUCACCUUACUCCCGACUCAGUCUGAGAUGAAGCAGUUGGAAACGUUAUUUCUGGACAACUGCGAAUCUAAUGUGGAAGUGAAGAAAACCCCUGAUGAGCAAA
Danio rerio (zebrafish) is the source of this 126-nucleotide non-coding RNA. The record is from Ensembl. Lineage: Eukaryota; Metazoa; Chordata; Actinopteri; Cypriniformes; Danionidae.